GACGGAGGAUGCAAGCGUUAUCCGGAAUUAUUGGGCGUAAAGCGUCCGCAGGUGGCUGUUCAGGUCUGCUGUCAAAGCGCAGAGCUUAACUCUGUACAGGCGGUGGAAACUGAAGAGCUAGAGUAUGGUAGGGGUAGAGGGAAUUCCCGGUGUAGCGGUGAAAUGCGUAGAUAUCGGGAAGAACACCAGUGGCGAAAGCGCUCUACUGGGCCAUAACUGACACUCAGGGACGAAAGCUAGGGGAGCGAAUGGG
RNAcentral lists this ribosomal RNA (253 nucleotides) under uncultured bacterium. RNAcentral describes it as "partial 16S ribosomal RNA". It matches the Rfam family "Bacterial small subunit ribosomal RNA", at positions 524 to 776 of the family's 1533-position model. The record is from RNAcentral.